Molecule: small RNA, 637 nt
Filed under: Arabidopsis thaliana (thale cress)
Lineage: Eukaryota; Viridiplantae; Streptophyta; Magnoliopsida; Brassicales; Brassicaceae
Description: ATSL276300
Source: RNAcentral
UAGAUAACUUCAAUUUUCAAAUAACAAAUACAAAUCAUUUUUCUUAGGAUUUGUUUAGUAAAAUAAGAAUAUUUCUUGUACAUUUCAAUCAUAAGUAGAUAUGGCUAAAUUUAACUCUCAGAUUACUACGCUAUUCAUUGUUGUAGCUUUGGUGUGUGCAUUUGUUCCAGCUUUCUCAGUCGAAGAAGCUGAAGCAAAUUUAUUGUGGAAUACUUGUCUUGUUAAAAUCACUCCUAAGUGUGCGUUAGAUAUAAUUGUUGUUGUCUUCGAAAAUGGAACAAUGCCUGAUCCUUGUUGCAACGAUCUCGUCAAAGAAGGAAAAGUGUGUCACGAUACGCUUAUUAAAUAUAUUGCAGAUAAACCCAUGUUAAUUGCUCACGAAACAGAAUACUUGAAGAAGAGUGAUGACUUGUGGAAACAUUGUGUCUCAAUCUCCAAAAGUGCUUGAAAUGUAUAUUGCGUGUACUAUUUUCACCCAAUAAAUUGAUUGUUUUCUGUUGUUAUAGUUUUCUUCACACAAGCCUUUAUAUUUUAACUUAACAACAAUUUUAACCAAAGCGAAUUUCUUUCUUAAAAAGUAUAACUUCAAUUUAUGAUUAUCUAUUUGAACUCGAAACAAAAUUUCUUAUAAGAGUCA